This 445-nucleotide ribosomal RNA is filed under the name uncultured bacterium. Its description in RNAcentral is "partial 16S ribosomal RNA". It matches the Rfam family "Bacterial small subunit ribosomal RNA", at positions 354 to 796 of the family's 1533-position model. The record is from RNAcentral.
GUAGGGAAUAUUGGGCAAUGGAGGCAACUCUGACGCAGCCAUGCCGCGUGCAGGAAGAAGGCGCUACGCGUUGUAAACUGCUUUUAACCGGGAAGAAACCCCAGGACGUGUCCUGGGUUGACGGUACCGGAGGAAUAAGCACCGGCUAACUUCGUGCCAGCAGCCGCGGUAAUACGAAGGGUGCAAGCGUUAUCCGGAUUCAUUGGGUUUAAAGGGCGCGUAGGCGGAGCGUUAAGUCAGUGGUGAAAUCCUGCAGCUUAACUGUAGACUUGCCAUUGAUACUGGCGCUCUUGAGUGCGCUUGAAGUGGGCGGAAUGUGCCGUGUAGCGGUGAAAUGCUUAGAUAUGGCACAGAACACCAAUUGCGAAGGCAGCUCACUAAGGCGAUACUGACGCUGAGGCACGAAAGCGUGGGGAUCGAACAGGAUUAGAUACCCGGGUAGUCC